GACGAACGCUGGCGGCGUGCUUAACACAUGCAAGUCGAACGGAAAGGCCCUGCUUUUGUGGGGUGCUCGAGUGGCGAACGGGUGAGUAACACGUGAGUAACCUGCCCUUGACUUUGGGAUAACUUCAGGAAACUGGGGCUAAUACCGGAUAGGAGCUCCUACUGCAUGGUGGGGGUUGGAAAGUUUCGGCGGUUGGGGAUGGACUCGCGGCUUAUCAGCUUGUUGGUGGGGUAGUGGCUUACCAAGGCUUUGACGGGUAGCCGGCCUGAGAGGGUGACCGGCCACAUUGGGACUGAGAUACGGCCCAGACUCCUACGGGAGGCAGCAGUGGGGAAUAUUGCACAAUGGGCGGAAGCCUGAUGCAGCAACGCCGCGUGCGGGAUGACGGCCUUCGGGUUGUAAACCGCUUUCGCCUGUGACGAAGCGUGAGUGACGGUAAUGGGUAAAGAAGCACCGGCUAACUACGUA
This 468-nucleotide ribosomal RNA is filed under the name uncultured bacterium. RNAcentral's name for it is "partial 16S ribosomal RNA". It matches the Rfam family "Bacterial small subunit ribosomal RNA", at positions 28 to 507 of the family's 1533-position model. The record is from RNAcentral.